This 253-nucleotide ribosomal RNA is filed under the name uncultured bacterium. RNAcentral's name for it is "partial 16S ribosomal RNA". It matches the Rfam family "Bacterial small subunit ribosomal RNA", at positions 524 to 776 of the family's 1533-position model. The record is from RNAcentral.
GACGUAGGGCGCGAGCGUUGUCCGGAUUUAUUGGGCGUAAAGAGCUCGUAGGCGGCUUGUCGCGUCGGCUGUGAAAACCUGGGGCUCAACUCCGGGCUUGCAGCCGAUACGGGCAAGCUAGAGUUCGGUAGGGGAGACUGGAAUUCCUGGUGUAGCGGUGAAAUGCGCAGAUAUCAGGAGGAACACCGGUGGCGAAGGCGGGUCUCUGGGCCGAUACUGACGCUGAGGAGCGAAAGCGUGGGGAGCGAACAGG